AUUGAACGCAGGCGGCAUGCCUUACACAUGCAAGUCGAACGGCAGCACGGGAGCAAUCCUGGUGGCGAGUGGCGAACGGGUGAGUAAUAUAUCGGAACGUGCCCAGUCGUGGGGAUAACGUAGCGAAAGCUACGCUAAUACCGCAUACGAUCUAUGGAUGAAAGCGGGGGAUCGCAAGACCUCGCGCGAUUGGAGCGGCCGAUAUCAGAUUAGGUAGUUGGUGAGGUAAAGGCUCACCAAGCCGACGAUCUGUAGCUGGUCUGAGAGGACGACCAGCCACACUGGGACUGAGACACGGCCCAGACUCCUACGGGAGCAGCAGUGGGAAUUUGGACAAGUGGCGCAAGCCUGAUCCAGCAAUGCCGCGU
This 368-nucleotide ribosomal RNA is filed under the name uncultured bacterium. RNAcentral describes it as "bacterial SSU rRNA". It matches the Rfam family "Bacterial small subunit ribosomal RNA", at positions 30 to 402 of the family's 1533-position model. The record is from RNAcentral.